GCUCAGUAAGUCGUAACAAGGUAACCGUAGAGUUUGAUCCUGGCUCAGGAUGAACGCUGGCGGUAUGCUUAACACAUGCAAGUCGAACGGUCUCUUCGGAGAUAGUGGCGGACGGGUGAGUAACGCGUGAGAAUCUAGCUUCAGGUCGGGGACAACCACUGGAAACGGUGGCUAAUACCGGAUGUGCCGAAAGGUGAAAGAUUUAUUGCCUGAAGAUGAGCUCGCGUCUGAUUAGCUAGUAGGUGUGGUAAGAGCGCACCUAGGCGACGAUCAGUAGCUGGUCUGAGAGGAUGAUCAGCCACACUGGGACUGAGACACGGCCCAGACUCCUACGGGAGGCAGCAGUGGGGAAUUUUCCGCAAUGGGCGAAAGCCUGACGGAGCAAUACCGCGUGAGGGAGGAAGGCUCUUGGGUUGUAAACCUCUUUUCUCAGGGAAGAAAAAAAUGACGGUACCUGAGGAAUAAGCAUCGGCUAACUCCGUGCCAGCAGCCGCGGUAAUACGGAGGAUGCAAGCGUUAUCCGGAAUGAUUGGGCGUAAAGCGUCCGCAGGUGGCUAUGUAAGUCUGCUGUUAAAGAGUGAGGCUCAACCUCAUAAGAGCAGUGGAAACUACAUAGCUAGAGUGCGUUCGGGGCAGAGGGAAUUCCUGGUGUAGCGGUGAAAUGCGUAGAGAUCAGGAAGAACACCGGUGGCGAAAGCGCUCUGCUAGGCCGCAACUGACACUGAGGGACGAAAGCUAGGGGAGCGAAUGGGAUUAGAUACCCCAGUAGUCCUAGCCGUAAACGAUGGAUACUAGGCGUGGCUUGUAUCGACCCGAGCCGUGCCGGAGCUAACGCG
Molecule: ribosomal RNA, 836 nt
Filed under: Calothrix sp. SGR5
Lineage: Bacteria; Bacillati; Cyanobacteriota; Cyanophyceae; Nostocales; Calotrichaceae
Also listed under: 1 other name
Description: bacterial SSU rRNA
Rfam family: Bacterial small subunit ribosomal RNA
Source: RNAcentral